CGCACUGCAUGGCUCCGGAACUUCCAUCAGGAACCGGGGAGUCAGAAGAAUUGGUGCUGAUUUACUCAGGAGGUCAUUUGUAACGACAAGGGAGUAUAUCAAAAAGGCGGUUUCCAAAGCAGACCAAGUCUCCUCUGAACUGAAAUUCGCCAGGUCUGAGAUGAUGUGCCUAGCAUUAAUAAUCACCCUUUCAUUGUGAAAUCGGCCAUUGAAGAUCAUGAGCUAGUGACAUGUGGAUGAACUGAUUGGUUUACGUUCCUCUGGGAUGAUGGUAUUAACCUUCCGUAAUGUCAGAAUGAUGAACUUCCAUCUGUACUGGUGCAACUCUGGAAUCUCUGCCCCUGGAUGCCUCCUUUCAAGACUGAAAAGCUUAAGCCUCCAGCAGUUUUUCCUCUUAAGUCAGACCUAACUCUAAGGAUCAAGAUCGAAAACCUUGUAGGUCCUCUCUGUCUCCAGUGCUUGAAUAUUUCCCAUUUUUCUCAGUGAGCAGAAAUGUAUAUUGUACUCAAGGUGUGGUCUGAUCAAAGCACUGAAAAGUUUGACCACAACUUUCUCUGACUUGUAUUCUGUUGUUUUAGUUAUUCUUGUUGCUGUGCUUAUUGCUGCUCUGCAUUGGCUGGACCUGUUGAACGUUGACACAAAUGCAUAAUACUAUGGAUGCUGGAAAUAUGAAAUAAACAGAAAGUGCUGGAAAUAA
Molecule: long non-coding RNA, 697 nt
Organism: Carcharodon carcharias (great white shark)
Lineage: Eukaryota; Metazoa; Chordata; Chondrichthyes; Lamniformes; Lamnidae
Exons: 4
Source: RefSeq, a predicted model, not a curated record